GUGCUGAAUAGGUUUCCUGAUAAUCGUGAAAUAUAUGAUAAAAUUACCAAGCUCUUGAAGGACUUGAGACUUGCAAGAGUUCGUUCUGCUUACAAUGAUGUCAUAUCAAAGGUGAGUCAACUCUUUAAGGAACACAAAGACCUGCUUUUGGGUUUCAAUAAGUUCUUGCCGCCGGGCUAUAAGAUAACACUCCCGAAGGAUCAAACUCAACGAAGGAAGCCUGAGUUUCGGGAUGCUGCUGAAUUUAUCAACAAGGUCAAGGAAAGGUUACAAGACGAGCAUGCAUACAAGUCCUUAUUAGAGAUAUUGCGAAUGUUCA
Molecule: long non-coding RNA, 319 nt
Organism: Brassica oleracea var. oleracea
Lineage: Eukaryota; Viridiplantae; Streptophyta; Magnoliopsida; Brassicales; Brassicaceae
Exons: 3
Source: RefSeq, a predicted model, not a curated record